GAUGAACGCUGGCGGCGUGCCUAAUACAUGCAAGUCGAGCGAACGGACGAGAAGCUUGCUUCUCUGAUGUUAGCGGCGGACGGGUGAGUAACACGUGGAUAACCUACCUAUAAGACUGGGAUAACUUCGGGGAACCGGAGCUAAUACCGGAUAAUAUUUUGAACCGCAUGGUUCAAAAGUGAAAGACGGUCUUGCUGUCACUUAGAGAUGGAUCCGCGCUGGAUUAGCUAGUUGGUAAGGUAACGGCUUACCAAGGCAACGAUGCAUAGCCGACCUGAGAGGGUGAUCAGCCACACUGGAACUGAGACACGGUCCAGACUCCUACGGGAGGCAGCAGUAGGGAAUCUUCCGCAAUGGGCGAAAGCCUGACGGAGCCACGCCGCGUGAGUGAUGAAGGUCUUCGGAUCGUAAAACUCUGUUAUUAGGGAAGAACAUAUGUGUAAGUAACUGUGCCCAUCUUGACGUUACCUAAUCAGAAAGCCACGGCUAACUACGUG
This 497-nucleotide ribosomal RNA is filed under the name uncultured bacterium. RNAcentral describes it as "partial 16S ribosomal RNA". It matches the Rfam family "Bacterial small subunit ribosomal RNA", at positions 28 to 507 of the family's 1533-position model. The record is from RNAcentral.